Molecule: long non-coding RNA, 465 nt
Organism: Amphimedon queenslandica
Lineage: Eukaryota; Metazoa; Porifera; Demospongiae; Haplosclerida; Niphatidae
Exons: 2
Source: RefSeq, a predicted model, not a curated record
UAAAUAAAAUUUUCCUAUACGGUAUCCACCCACGAUGUAAAUUACUGACGGCAAGAAGGCCUCGAGAUCAAAAGAAAAUCAAAGGCGGUGACACCGCCUGACCAUUUUUCUGAGCGCUACAAGGUACUACAGGCUUACAAGCAGCAUUUAUGGAAAGUAUGGAGGCCAGACUACAUCAUAUAGACCAGGUAACUGUUGCUGCAACAUAGACCUACUGAAUCCUUGUUUGCUUGAUCACUGGAUCUCGUUGUACUAUAAAACAUGGUGGCCUAUAGUUUUGACUUUAAACACCUUUUCUCCAAUCUGGGGCAGAGUUAGGUAUGAAUAUGAAACCAAUGAAGCUAAAUUGUCUGUUGUUUCUUGUACUGACUCUUUUCAGAAGAAAUAUAGAUUUUUACGAAGUUUUUUUAUAAUUAUUGAUUUUGCCACCAUUUUGGUUGCUAAGCGUAUCUAGGAAAAACGUCA